This is an RNA transcript of Eucalyptus grandis, 1560 nucleotides long. It is a transcript of the gene named damage-control phosphatase At2g17340-like, with no coding region annotated. The transcript is spliced from 8 exons. The record is from RefSeq and is a predicted model, not a curated record. NCBI's taxonomy places the organism in Eukaryota, Viridiplantae, Streptophyta, Magnoliopsida, Myrtales, Myrtaceae.
ACGGCAGAGGGAAGCAGGACGAAGAAGAAAUCCAUCCACGACAAGAUCAAAGCUCCGACCUUCUUCCGCUCUCGUCGAACCGCCGCGAACCGGCCGCCGGCAUCGAAUCCGAUCGGCGAAAGCGAGGAGGAGCGAUGGAGAGCGCGUCGGAGAUGGUGCCGUUCCCGCUGCUGCAGACGCCGAUCGAUUCCAACUACAGGGCCUGCACCUUCCCCUACCGGUUCCCCUCCGACAACCCGAAGCGCCCCACCCCGACCGCGCUCGCCUGGAUCGACCUCUUCCGCAACUCCAUUCCCUCCUUCAAGAAACGGGCGGAGAGCGAUCCUACGGUCCUUGAUGCCCCUGUCAGAGCUGAAAAAUUCGCUGAGAGCUUCUGUGCAGACUAAGAGAGCAGAUUCUUUGAGAGUUGGGUUUUCAAGACAUAUUCAAAAAAGUUGAGGAUGAAGAGAAUGCGGAAGCCAUAUCCCUUUUCAGUGAUGUAGUUAAUCUUAAUGAUGCAAUUGAAGACGAAGGCAAGCGUUUGGAAAAUCUAGUUAGAGGAAUAUUUGCAGGAACCAUCUUUGAUCUUGGAUCUGCACAGGCUAUCAUAUUUGCUGAUAACCCCAGUGCAGAUAUCAUUUUGGGUAUUUUGCCGUUCGCCAGAGAAUUAUUUCAUCGUGGGACUUAGGUUGUGCUUGCUGUUAAUGAUUUGCCAUCUCUUAACGAUGUCACCUACCCUGAACUAAUUGAGAAUAUAUCCAAGGUAUGAAUAGCAAGAUUUUUAGAUGUGAUGUGAAUACACCAUGUUGGUCCAGACAUUGUUCCAGUAACCAGCUGAAGGAUGAGAAUGGGAAGUUAAUGGGUGUUGAUGCUUCAAAUCUCUUGAUCGCUAAUUCUGGGAAUGAUUUGCCUGUUAUUGAUCUCGCACAAGUAUCCCAAGAGCUAGCCUUUCUGGCGGCUGAUGCAGAUCUAGUUAUUGUGGAAGGAAUGGAGUUCGGGCCAACUAAUGCCGAGUUCACAAAGGAAUUUCCUUAAUCGAUUAUGUUAUUCCACAACAAUGGAUAAGUUGGACAUGAACGAGCACAGAGAACAUGGACGACAUGGUUUAGAAGGGGUCGGACUCAUCGGGCGAUACAAUGAUGUCUUCCAAGGGCACGACCUGGCCGACUUCGGACUUGCUGCCCUUGUCGCGAAUGGCGAGGGAUUCGAAGUCGUAGACCCCGUCUCCGCUGCCGUCUUUGCUCCUGGAGCUCUCGGAAUCGGAGUAGAGCUCGUGCGUUGCUUGAUCCAGCGUCCCUUCUCUGUACACAUAAACGAACUCGCCCUCCUCCAGAGCACGCCACUUGCUAUGGAGAUCAACUCGGUUCAUGGGCAUACCCCUAUGUAUCAAGAAAUAGAAAUAAAAUAAAUUAUAAUAAAGAGAAAAAUAAUCAAUUCUACAAUUGUUGCUUCUCCUACCAAUUCGAAUGCGCUAUUUACUCAUCGAGAAAGUUGUAAAUAAGGACCUGAGAUUUAGAGUGGGCUCUGUAAUAAGCGUUCAUGAUCGGUAAUUAAUUAAUGAAUCGGAUUGGAUGGUCAUUG